AGAUUGAACGCUGGCGGCAGGCCUAACACAUGCAAGUCGAGCGGUAGAGAGGUGCUUGCAUCUCUUGAGAGCGGCGGACGGGUGAGUAAUGCCUAGGAAUCUGCCUAGUGGUGGGGGAUAACGUUCGGAAACGGACGCUAAUACCGCAUACGUCCUACGGGAGAAAGGCGGGGGACCUUCGGGCCUCGCGCCAUUAGAUGAGCCUAGGUCGAUUAGCUAGUUGGUGAGGUAAUGGCUCACCAAGGCGACGAUCCGUAACUGGUCUGAGAGGAUGAUCAGUCACACGUGGAACUGAGACACGGUCCAGACUCCGUACGGGAGCAGCAGGUGGGAAUAGUUAGGACAAGUGGGACGAAAGCCGUGACUCCAGCCAGUCGCCGUCGUGUGGUAGAAAGGUAAGGUUCGUUACGGUAAGUUUA
RNAcentral lists this ribosomal RNA (419 nucleotides) under uncultured soil bacterium. RNAcentral describes it as "bacterial SSU rRNA". It matches the Rfam family "Bacterial small subunit ribosomal RNA", at positions 26 to 441 of the family's 1533-position model. The record is from RNAcentral.